CCUACGGGUGGCAGCAGUGAGGAAUAUUGGUCAAUGGGCGGAAGCCUGAACCAGCCAAGUAGCGUGCAGGAUGACGGCCCUACGGGUUGUAAACUGCUUUUAUACGGGAAUAACGCGCCUUACGUGUAGGGCUUUGCAUGUACCGUAUGAAUAAGGACCGGCUAAUUCCGUGCCAGCAGCCGCGGUAAUACGGAAGGUCCGGGCGUUAUCCGGAUUUAUUGGGUUUAAAGGGAGCGUAGGCCGCAUGUCAAGCGUGCUGUGAAAUGUCCGGGCUCAACCCGGGCCUUGCAGCGCGAACCGGCGUGCGUGAGUCCGCGGAAAGCAGGCGGAAUUCGUCGUGUAGCGGUGAAAUGCUUAGAUAUGACGAAGAACCCCGAUUGCGAAGGCAGCUUGCUGCAGCGUAACUGACGUUGAGGCUCGAAAGCGUGGGGAGCAAACAGGAUUAGAUACCCCAGUAGUC
RNAcentral lists this ribosomal RNA (460 nucleotides) under uncultured bacterium. RNAcentral describes it as "partial 16S ribosomal RNA". It matches the Rfam family "Bacterial small subunit ribosomal RNA", at positions 338 to 795 of the family's 1533-position model. The record is from RNAcentral.